GGCAGCAGUGGGGAAUCUUCCGCAAUGGGCGCAAGCCCGACGGAGCAACGCCGCGUGAGUGAAGAAGGCCUUCGGGUUGUAAAACUCUGUCAUCAGGGAAGAAGAAAGUGACGGUACCUGAGGAGGAAGCCCCGGCUAACUACGUGCCAGCAGCCGCGGUAAAACGUAGGGGGCGAGCGUUGUCCGGAAUUACUGGGCGUAAAGGGCGCGUAGGCGGUUAUCCAAGUCAGGGGUGAAAACCUUGGGCUCAACUCAGGGCCUGCCUCUGAAACUGGGUAACUUGAGGGCAGGAGAGGGGAGUGGAAUUCCCAGUGUAGCGGUGAAAUGCGUAGAUAUUGGGAGGAACACCAGUGGCGAAGGCGGCUCUCUGGCCUAACCCUGACGCUGAGGCGCGAAAGCGUGGGGAUCAAACAGGAUUAGAUACCCUGGUAGUCCACGCCGUAAACGAUGAGUACUAAGUGU
RNAcentral lists this ribosomal RNA (462 nucleotides) under uncultured Bacillota bacterium. RNAcentral's name for it is "bacterial SSU rRNA". It matches the Rfam family "Bacterial small subunit ribosomal RNA", at positions 347 to 823 of the family's 1533-position model. The record is from RNAcentral. Lineage: Bacteria; Bacillati; Bacillota.